GCCAUUUUUGGUAAGCAGAA
This 20-nucleotide small nuclear RNA is filed under the name Arabidopsis thaliana (thale cress). RNAcentral's name for it is "snRNA_15185". Lineage: Eukaryota; Viridiplantae; Streptophyta; Magnoliopsida; Brassicales; Brassicaceae. The record is from RNAcentral.